Molecule: transfer RNA, 85 nt
Filed under: Candidatus Roizmanbacteria bacterium CG_4_10_14_0_2_um_filter_39_13
Lineage: Bacteria; Candidatus Roizmaniibacteriota
Description: tRNA-Ser
Rfam family: tRNA
About the family: Transfer RNA (tRNA) molecules are approximately 80 nucleotides in length.
Source: RNAcentral
GGAGAGGUCGCAUAGUGGCCUAGUGCGUUGGUCUUGAAAACCAAUGUCCCGCAAGGGACCGCGAGUUCGAAUCUCGCCCUCUCCG